AAGCAGACUCCAUUCGAAUGUCUCCUCUUUUUGAGUCUCUGGUCCCUGAAAAGGAGAGAUGCUGUUUCUCCGAAGCAAACCAGGAAUGGCUCCCAUGAUUAUGGAGGCCAAGAAGUUCCAGAAUGGGCUGUCUGCAAGCUGGAGACCCAGGAGCCAGAGAUGUGAUUCAGUCUGAAUCCAAAGGCCUCAGAAAAAAGUGCACUGGUGUCUGAGGGCAUGAGAAGAUGGAUACCCCAGCUCAAAAAGAGAGCCAAUUCGCCCAUCCUCUGCCUUUCUAUUCUAUUCAGGCCCUCUGUGGACUGGAUGAUGCCCACCAGCACCAGUGAGGCCCUCCUUGCUCAGUGCACCGAUUCCAACACUGACCACUUUGAGAAACACCCUCCGAGACACAGCCCCGGCAUAAUAUGUUACCAGCUCUCUGGGCGUCCAGAGUCCAGUCACGUGGACGCAGGAAAUCAGCCCUCGCGGGCACCUCUGGAGUAGAGAUUACAGGACGAGGAGAGAAGCCAGUGGCAAAGGGGCAGACGAAGGAUCUGAACACACAGAGUCCGA
Molecule: long non-coding RNA, 552 nt
Organism: Neogale vison (American mink)
Lineage: Eukaryota; Metazoa; Chordata; Mammalia; Carnivora; Mustelidae
Exons: 3
Source: RefSeq, a predicted model, not a curated record